Molecule: non-coding RNA, 27 nt
Filed under: Mus musculus (house mouse)
Lineage: Eukaryota; Metazoa; Chordata; Mammalia; Rodentia; Muridae
Source: RNAcentral
UAAUUACCACGAUGCUUUCUUCUCCAC